GUGGGGAAUAUUGGACAAUGGGGGGAACCCUGAUCCAGCCAUGCCGCGUGUGUGAAGAAGGCCUUUUGGUUGUAAAGCACUUUAAGCGGGGAGGAGGCUCUUGAGGAUAAUACCCUUGAUGAGUGGACGUUACCCGCAGAAUAAGCACCGGCUAACUCUGUGCCAGCAGCCGCGGUAAUACAGAGGGUGCGAGCGUUAAUCGGAUUUACUGGGCGUAAAGCGUGCGUAGGCGGCUGAAUAAGUCGGAUGUGAAAUCCCCGAGCUUAACUUGGGAAUUGCAUACGAUACUGUUUGGCUAGAGUAUGGGAGAGGAUGGUAGAAUUCCAGGUGUAGCGGUGAAAUGCGUAGAGAUCUGGAGGAAUACCGAUGGCGAGGGCAGCCAUCUGGCCUAAUACUGACGCUGAGGUACGAAAGCAUGGGGAGCAAACAGGAUUAGAUACCCGUGUAGUCC
This 451-nucleotide ribosomal RNA is filed under the name uncultured bacterium. Its description in RNAcentral is "partial 16S ribosomal RNA". It matches the Rfam family "Bacterial small subunit ribosomal RNA", at positions 354 to 796 of the family's 1533-position model. The record is from RNAcentral.